Molecule: long non-coding RNA, 9509 nt
Filed under: Homo sapiens (human)
Lineage: Eukaryota; Metazoa; Chordata; Mammalia; Primates; Hominidae
Description: HSALNT0312200
Source: RNAcentral
GUCCACUUCUGCACGGACCAUCAACGGAGCAGUUUCUUCAGAUACCAUCCUUUUUUUUUUUUUUUAAAUGUUAGAAAUCUUUCACUAAUUAAUCAAGGUUUCACAUGAAUGCCUAUCUUCUACCUGACAGCCAAAGUCAUAGAAAGAGGAAAAAUACAGAGUAGGUUCUACCUAAAGUCUGCCCUGCGGCUAUUUAAACAGAUACAGAAUGACCAAAUCUGGAGACACGUAUUUAAAAUAUUCCUUCUAUCUCCCCCUCCUUCUGUGAAAGAUAUCUGAAUGCAUUCGGCCCACAGCCUGUUAAAGUUUUUUUUUUUUUUUUUGAGGCGGCCAGACUUGGAACACUCAGGAAUACAGACAGACGUAGGAAUUGCUUAAAAACAAGAAGUUCUCCCACCCUUGUUGGAGCGAAUGCGCGAGUCUGACAGUGAACCUUUUGGGAAAGAGCCAGCAUUGUAACCGUGCUCGGUGACUUCUCUGGCUUUAUAGGGAACAGAUGUGAGGAUAGCAAGGGGCGCACACGUGAAAUGCCUGGCAGGUACCCCUUUGUGGCUCUACUUACUUCUUGCCAUUCCUCUGCCCUCCAAGUGUAGAGGGGACACCGUGGGCCUUGGCAGUCGCGUUCCGACUCCGGUCUGGUGUAUGGGUUGCACUCGGUCUCUCUGGCUAUUUUGUGUGUUCCGAUCUGACAGCCCACAUGCCUCUGCUGUACGCCUCGGCCACAGGACACAGAGCACUAAGAAGACAGAGAACCGCCAGUUUGGAUAAUAUCUCAAGGCUUAAUAGGGAAGGAAGGUGGCAUUGAAAAAAAAAAUGUCCACAGCAUUACAGCAGCAAUCCUGUGUGGCAUUUUUGGCUCACUCAAGAGUGUGGGUAAAUCCUGAGAAUUGGAGCCAAAAAUAAAGCUCAUGAACCUGAAAUUACCAUGAAAUUCUGAUUUUAAGAAGUCCUACUAUGAAAUAGUGAUAUAUUUCUUCAACAAAAUGCCUGUGAUUCACUGACUGGGAUAAAGGUGCAUUUCCAAAAUACAACUAUGUUCAAUUUCUUAAUUAAAUGAUUUAAGAAUAAAACUCUUGAACCAUUUUCCAGAGGAUAAGCUCUCGUUUUCCCAGUCCACUGGGAAGAGGUGAAAAAGGCACGUUAGAAACUGAAAGGUAAGCUAGCAGGAAUAUGGAAAGAGAAAUUCUGCUGUGAGAAAUUCAUAGAACUACCUGGCAGAAAAGGAAGGGUGAUAUUGCCUCCCAGGGAACAUUUGGCAACGUCUGAAGAUAUUUUUCACUGUCACAACCGAGGGGAUUCACAGUCUGGUGAGACAAGUUUGAGAUCUCAUAUUUUCAGCUCAUCCUUGAAAACCUUUCUUCGAUUUGACUGACCUUGAUGGCUCCCUGGAAUCUCACCUACAUUUUAUGGGAAAUUCAACUCUCCAGAGAGAAGAGCUUUCAGAUAGCUGCGGGACUUGCAACUGUGACUUUCAGCUUUCGCUUUUGAAUGAGGCUCCAAAUGUCUCAAUGGUGGCACUAUUUCCAGAUUUGGGAGCCCUGCAAAGCUAAUCUGCUCAACCUUCACCUACUGGGUUCAAUGAAUAUGAAAAGCUGCCUUCCUGAAACUUUUCCUUCAAAGAGGGAAUGAUCUCCUGGAAUUCAAGCUUCUACAAGGUGGCUACCUGGUGUUUUCCACUUUUGCCGUCUCCUAAAAAGCAUCAUUCAAGCCUUGCCCUUUCAACCCACUGAACACAUAAACAUGCUUUCUCCUUAACUGAACUUAUGGCCACGAUGAACUUGAACUCUGAGAUUCACAGAGGAGAGUUUGUUUUAACAGCUGCUUUUACAAUGAAGCCCUGGAGUUACUACUCUCAAGACCCCUGGUUCUGAUAGGCCAUCUUUUCACUGUCCUCUGCAUUUUCUAAUGCCCAGCUGUCAAGGAACACCCACUGAAGUUUUCCAAAACAAAGGCACGAAACACAAGAAAGGCAAGAGAAUGCUAAUCACCAGAUGCAUGGGCAUCCUAUGGGGGAACCCCUUACAUGUGGAAUACGGUUUUUCUCCCCAAUUUAUUUUUAUAAAUUUAUUGAUUUCUUUGCUAGUUUGUUAUUAAUUGUUAGAGAUGUCCUGUUGCCUGAGGUUGCCCUGUCCGAUAUGGUAGCCACCAGCGACAGGUAGCUAUUUAGAGUAAUUUAAAAAUUACAUUAAAAAUGCAGUUUCCUUGUCACUUAACCAUGUUUCAAGUGCUCAGUAUUAACCACAUGUGACUAGUGGCUUCCAUAAAGGAAGGCAAAAAUAGAGAACAUUUACAUCGCUGCAGAAAGCUACUAGAUUUUUUUGGCCAAGGCAUAAGCUCUUUCUCAUAAGAGAAAGGGGAUGCAGAUCUUGCUAAGAGUGAUGGAUUUCUGGGUUCAGCCUACAUGAGUCAUCUUCCAUACUACCCCUGGACAUGCUUUCCUUGGCUGCCAAUUUUCUAUUUUAUAAAUUUCAGGAAAGAGAGAUUAUGGUUGUUAAAACCAUUCAUGACAAUGAUCCCACUUUAGAGAAAACAACAGCAACAAGCAAAGAAGAUGGUGUGGAGAUCCGCACAUUCCACAUCUUUUAAUUGGUACCCAUUAAAUAACAAAGGGAAAAAGUACCCUCAGACCACAACUCUCCACCUUGUGUGGAGGCCAAGGACCCAGCAGGGAGAAGGCAGAAGAUUAGGUUCUCCACUCAUCCUGGCUCUCAGACCACUGAACUCACAUUUGGGUUCUAAUGGAAUGGUGAUUGGAAGCAUAUUCUCCAAUAGGAGGUUUUUAAAAGUUCUGUGCCAUCAGCCAGGCAGCAUCUGUCAUUUAAAAUGACUGGCCAGUUGCACGUUUAAAAGCAAAGAUAAAAUUGCUAAUUUAUACUUACUGAAUAAACAUCAGCAGUAUCCAUGAAGGUACCUACCCUAAUAGCAAGUUGUAUUUUUAUUUUUAUGGUGGUGGCGAAGCUGCCAGGAAAACCAAAGCAUCAGUUCUUUAAUUACAUUUGUUUAGUAUUGAUUUAAUACUAAAAUUUCUCUUGCUCCCUUAGAACAAAGAGCUCUAACUUGUACACUGCUGUAUCCUUAGCACCUGGAACAGUCCCUGGCCUACAAUAGGCACUUAGAAAGUAUUUGUUAAAAAUUGAUUUUUUUUUUUUAAAGAAACAACCCAGAGUUUUUUUAUUCUGCCCCAACCCCCAACCCCUGGCAUUAAAAUAAAUCUUCCUCAACUGCCAUCACUAAUCGCCAGGAUUCCCUCCUAGCCAAUUAUGCUUGGACUCAACCUCUACCUCCCACUCCACAUUCCAAAGUUUCUAUUUCUUUCCAUUCCAGAAGGGCAACUCCACAACAGGAGUGAGGGAGAGGACCUGGACUCCUCCUCAGAGUCCAAUAACACUCCUAACCCUGCUCCCCCAACCUGUGGACUUUUUAAAUCCAUGAAAAUAGAACCUGUCAAGCUACCACAAAAUAGCAUCAGAAGGCAGGAUCAGUCUUUCAUAGGCAUACAAUCUCUGUAAAUACUGAAAAAAGAUUAUUAAAAGCCUGCUAAGUUUUGUCUCCAGUGAAAUAGAUGCAGGCAAGUAUUUUGAUUGUUCUGAACACAUUAGAGAUGAGUGCUACACAGAACUAAGGUAAACUUUGUAAAUUCGUAUGUCAUAACACUUUGUUCCACAAAAAACUAUCUUAUUUUUUAUACUCCAUACUGAUACAGCCAAAUAAUGUGGCUCUUAUUUUCUAAAGAUGCCAGCAAUAUGUUUAAACAUGUCUUCAUUGUAGUAAAAGUAUCAUAUUUAUAAAAAAUACAUAUGCAUUUAAUGUGAUAUUCCUUAUAGUCAAAAUCUUGAUAUCAUCCUGUUAAUCUGGCUAAAAAUGUAUCUGUAAAAUGAAAGAGAGGAAUAUUUUGCCAUUCCCUAAACAACAGUUGUUUGAAGCUUUUGUAAUUGCUGGUUAUGGGAAUUUACCAAUAACAGGAAUGAAUUUGGAUUUUCUUUUGCUGGAAUCAAAUGGACAAUGUCAUAAUUAGCUAAAUAAUGUUGAGGCUAAAUGAAGUUUGAGUUUUAGGCACAUCCUUUAUGGAAUAUAAACAGGAACCUAAAAGUUCAUUCUGAACAUAGGUUGUUUCUUUCUGCCAAAACAAGAUUAAUAGUCAGUACCCUAACGACAAGGUCCUAUCACUGAAGUAGAUUAUCGGCUAGUCAAAUGGGUUCCUAACAGCACCUCCCUCAUGGGUUAAAACAAGAGGGUUAAUGUGAUGUGUAUUUGCUUAAUUUGGCUUGUUAUACAGUAAACACACAGCAAACGUUAGCUAUUGUUAUCUUCAUUUCCUUUGGAGAAGUUAUCUUAUUUCUCACCUUAUUAAAAAUAAACCCUAACUCAUACAGGGACCCUCCUUACCUUGGUCCUUUCACCCAUGAAUACCAUAAUAACCUAUACUGCAAAAAGGAGGCUCAGGAGGAGGAUGAGGUAUCAAUAGGCCUCCGGGUCAUUUUUAUGAUUUAGGUAUUUUUUGAAAAGGGUAGGCUCUCUUGAAACUUCCAAGGUAGUUGUUGUAGUAUUUUAUUUUCCUUUCAUAAGAAAUGCUUUCUGAAAUGUAUUGCAGUGAACAAAUAACAAAAUUGACAAAUGCUGUAAGCCUUUUACAGUUAUCUGAACACACAGAAUAAAGUGUAAUCAAAUUUGUGCACAUUAGGUUUGCUUUUUCCUGUACCUAGCUGUCUCUUAUGUGUUCAGAACCAUUUCUUCCAAUCACCUUUUUUUGUCUUCUGGCUAUAAUUUAUCAUUAUCUACAAAUUCAAUAAAUGGAGCAUGCAUAUUUCAUAGUUGAGAUUCAAUAAUUCAGGACAACAGUACUAGAAAAGAAAAAAUACCCAACAAAAUAUUAAGCCUCAUAUAUUUUUGUUUAUAAAUCUAAGCAUCAUUUCCAACUCAGAAAUAUGUUUUUAAAGUAUCCCUUUAAAAUACAUACUUGAAGCUGUCUAAUUACACAAAGCUAGAUACUUGGCUACUCAGAUUUGAGGGAGGGGUUGUACAGGUUGGAGGGAAUUUACAAAAUUAAAAUGUAUCUUUUUAAAACCAAAAGAAACAUAUACAUUCAUUUCUAAUCCACAGAGCCUACUUGCCUUUACAGUCUGCUGAUAAACACUGAUUUUUUAAACAUUGUAUAUAAAAUUAAAUAACAUGAAAAAAUAAAUAUGCUUUAUUAUAUAACACAUAGAAAUCUGUACUGCUCAAAAUAUUCAGAAAAUUCUAGGUGUGGCUGCUUAAAACUGUGUUUAGAAAAUAUGGUAGUGAUAUUUACAAUCUUUAUUUCUUCUAGGGAGAGAAGCAGUGAGGUUAUAAAAUACUGGUAUCAAACAUUUUCUCUUCCUACCUACAGAAGCUGCAAACUUUAAUACGAAAAUGAGGUAGACAAAAAUUCAUAAGUUAGCCAGGCAGAAACAAAAGCACAAUUCCUUCAUGAGCUCAUAAAUUCUCAUUACUUGGGUCGACAAGCAUUAUUCCAAUGCACCUAAAGCAAGGCUCAGAGAACAUUUUUAGGUUUGUCAUGAAAAACCCGAACAAGCAAUUUCUCCUAAGGAGAAGCACAGUUUCCAAGGUGAUCAGCAAGCAGGUUGACAGGGCAAUGCACAAAGGAACACCGAAGACCCAUCUUGGAUACAUGGUAUCACCUAGCAGACUUUUAAUCUGUGAUUAUCUAGAUGAAUUAGCUUUCUCUAGAACGCUCUGGAUUUUUAGCCUACUUUCUGCUGUGGUUCGAUAGUAUAGAGGUCUCUUUCCAAUUUACUCCUCAAGUCAUAGGACAUAUGCAUAGACUACUUAAUGUCCUCCUGGGACUGACUGCAGGAGUCAACUGAAAGGCAUGUGAGUUUAAGAACCUUAUUUCAGGCUGGGCAUGGUGGCUCAUGUCUGUAAUCUCAGAACUUUGUGAGGCCAAGGCAGCGGAUCACCUGAAGUCAUGAGUUUGAAACCAGCCUGGCCAACAUGGCGAAACCCCGUCUCUACUAAAAAUACAAAAAUUAGCCAGGUGUGGUGGUGGGCACCUAUAAUCCCGGCUACUUGGGAGGCUGAGGCAUGAGAAUCACUUGAACCCGGGAGGAGGAGGUUGCAGUGAGCCGAGAUCGCACCACUGCACUCCAGCCUGGGCAACAGAGCAACACUCUGUCUCAAAAAAAAAAAGGAACCUUAUUUCAAAAACAAACACUACCAAAAAAAGAGUCCAAAGGCCCAUUUUAAAAAGGAUAGAAAAGGUUGAAUUUCUGGAGGAUAUUUCUCACCAUCAUGAUUCUUAAAUCCGCAAUGACUUGAGCCAGAACCAAUGGCUGAUCUAAGAUGGGGACUUAAACCCUAGGUUCACAGAAGCUUCAUUUUAGGGAUGCUGGAAGCUAUAUUAAUAGUGAUUUGGGGUUUCUUUCCUAAAUACUGCUCUUUAGUAACAAGUGUUGAAGUAGGCAAUCUCCAUUUUGACCUUGGAGAAGGCUAAUUCACACAGCAGCAGUUGCUUCUUGACAUCAUCUAAUGCAUGGGAGUACUGGGAGAGAGAAAGCAACCAGGCAGAAGGAUUAAUUGCUACCCUUGGUCCCUAAUAAAUCUAAGUUGCUUUCUGUUGAAAGCAACAUGUUAGCACCUCCAACAUACUUUUUAUUGUUGUUAGUUUCACCGUCAGUUACAAUGAUGAAGCACCAUGGAAGUGGCUUUAUGGCUAUUAACACAAUUACUGAGGUAUGCUUACAUUUGGAAUUACUAAGAUAUUAUACCAAAGCAUCCACAGAAAUAAACACACAAUUAAAAUCAAAACUCUACAGUAAGAAUCUGAAAGACUGCCCUCUCACUCAUAUAUUUAGGAAAAGUAAUAUAUUACAAAGAUAUUUUAAAGAAAAUGCUUUUGAUUUAAUUUUUUAAGAUCACAAUUAAAAGCCUUGCAGAAGUGGCCUUGCUCUUAGACUGUAGAGGCUUCGCAUAUUUGAAUAAUGAUCACUUUAUAAAGAAACCAUUGAAAUCAUAUAGGCAGCAAAAUGAUUUUAAAAAUGCGUGCACUUGCUUCUGUGCAUACUAGAGCAUUAUAAUUUCUUUCUCUCUCUCUCUUUCUUCCUCUGUUUCAGAGAACUGUGUGCAGGCCCAAGGAGAACAACUACAUGAAAUAAACCUUAUGUUUUCAGUUACAAUAAUUAGCAGUUCAUGUUUUAAAAUUUAAACAUUUAUGCUCUUAAAAUAUCUGUGGGGGAGGGUAGUGAUCCUGUGUAAAAAAAAAUUUAGCGUAUUUAGAAAGUGUUUAAGGAAGAGAAUACCAUGGAAAUUAAUUUAUAAUUCUCUAAGACUUAUGUUUUUCCCCCUGUUUUCCCAAAUAAUUCUUCCUGGAGAGGUAAAUAUAGAAUAAUCAAUGGAACUGAGAUGAUCAAUGGAAUUGAGUCUGGGAAGGGAAAUGCAGGUUUCUUUUUUUCACCAAACCACAAGAAUAUGCAAUAAAUAGCCUUGUGUGUUUCUUCCUAAGGGUUAAGAGAUUUUUUUUUUUUUGGGUCAAAGUUAAUGAACUACGACUUUGUGGACAGCUAGUAGACUUUCUAAAACAUAACUCUGGUACUGGUAUUGCUGUUGGUCUAGUGAACUGGGUGAAAACACAAUGAGCUUAAGAGGGAAUUUCACGAAAAAUAAUAUAUAAUAGGAGAUGAGGGAAGUUGGGAAUGUCAGAAGAUGUUCCUGAGAUUCUAAGGUUAUUUCUGAUCUUCAAAAAUGUUCAUCUGGGGAAGGUGCCAUUAUUGUAGGGAAAAUGCUCCUACUGAACUGACUAGAGAUACAACAGACCAGAGCUCUCUGACCCAGAGUGGCGUUUCUUAAGUUCUGGAAGAAAAUACUUAACAGUCCAGCUAAAUAGUACCAGUGGAGAUAAUGCUCCAAAUUCUUCUAGAUUUCUGCCUAAUACAAAGUAUAGUGAUUAUAUAGUUAGUGUUACACCUGCAGACACGACCCCAGCCAUUGAAACCCUUGACUCUUAGAAAUGUCAACAGGUAUUAACCAUGUCACUUCACUUAAUCUGCUCUUUAGCUGGUUUCAGGGAUGGUUAAGACUUCUGAGAACCAUACUGGGUAAAAAAACAUUCUGGAUAUGACUUAAUACAAUACUAAAUUCAGCUUCAGUGCAAUUAAUGUAUUUACAGGACCAUUUUUCCUCUAUUUACAUGAAACAGCCCUAACGGCUCCACAGCUUAUGGGCACAACUCAGCCAAAGUAUUGUUUUGACACAGCUGAUGCUUCUGUUUGCCAAGAGCUGCCCCAGAAGUUUGCAUCAUAUUUACAGUGGCAAACCUGUCUCACCAUGUCAGCUGCUGGCUAAGCAGAUAGCAAAGGAAGACUAGGACCAAAGCAAAAAAUGGUCCCAAACGGGCUUCCUAUCUCUGUGCAAGAGAGAGAACAUUUCCGACACCCUAAAAGGCACCAGGUCACCUGUUCCAUUUUUGGUCUUUUGCAUUUUUAAAUGAUUUUAGUCUAUUUUGUGGGCACAGACUUUGUAAAAAUUAUGUUCAGAGCUGUACCCGAGUCACACAGGCAAAUUACAGUCACUGAAGAAAAAUUGCUUUGGCCUCAGUAAGCAGGUAUCUUUCCCAAAAAGUCAAAACUACUACAGCUUAGAAAAGGAAAGAAUGUGUGCUAUUGAGUUGUCUGUUAAAAUCACUAUGUAUGUGUGUGUGUAUGAUGUGUGUGUGUGUGUGUGUGUGUGUGUGUGUGUGUGUGUGUAUUUAGGCUAAGAAAAGGCAGCUACUUCUUGGCACCAGGUCCUGUAUGAGGUACACUUAUUCUUUAAAGUCACUUUGGCAAUAUCAUAAAAAGUUAAUUCUAUUAUGUGCCAAUAUGGAGAAAAUAAUAGACUAUUUAUAGCAGAGUUUCUGGGAUGCCCUUGUAAGUGUGACAAUUAUCUGCCACAGAGGAGUGCCCCAGAAUACCUUGGAAUUAGAUAGUUUGGUUAACAAACAUGAAUAGUUAGGGCCGUACCGAGCUCCAAGGGCCAGUACUCCAUGCAGCGUCGUGUGGACAAGCAUGUGUGUUACACUGCUCACGAUCGGGAGGUUUAUCAAGAAUUUCACAGCUCAAAUCUGGAAACCGUUCACCGUUGGACCGCUGACAGACCACCAGUCUUGUUCUUAUGCCUCCACCACACAGCUUAGUGCACUGGAAGAAGGAAAAGGAAGGCUGCAGUUAUUUUGUCUGAAAGGCCAAUGACAAAUUUCCUUUCUCCCUAAUUUCUUAGCCAAACUCAAUUAUGGCAUUGGGCAAGGUAAGCCUCUGACAGAUGGAACCAAGGUGAAUUACCAAUAGUGAUACGUAAAACAGACCAAGACUCUCCUACUUUAAUGGCAGGUAUUAGUUAUUAAGUGCUUUCUCUUAACUUGCACUGAGGACUUUUGCAUAUAUUAUCUAAUCAAGAGGAGUGUAAUUAUUUGCCCCAUCUUAUAUAUGAAGCAAUUAAGGUGAAGGGAGGUUAAUUAACUCGAUCAAGUCCAAUCUGUUAGCAAGUAACAAAGAUCC